UACGGAGGGUCCAAGCGUUAAUCGGAAUUACUGGGCGUAAAGCGCGCGUAGGCGGUUGCUUAAGUGGGAUGUGAAAUACCUGGGCUUAACCUGGGAAUUGCGUUCCAAACUGGGCAGCUAGAGUACAGUAGAGGGUGGUGGAAUUUCCAGUGUAGCGGUGAAAUGCGUAGAGAUUGGAAGGAACAUCAGUGGCGAAGGCGACCACCUGGACUGAUACUGACGCUGAGGUGCGAAAGCGUGGGGAGCAAACAGG
RNAcentral lists this ribosomal RNA (253 nucleotides) under uncultured bacterium. RNAcentral describes it as "partial 16S ribosomal RNA". It matches the Rfam family "Bacterial small subunit ribosomal RNA", at positions 524 to 776 of the family's 1533-position model. The record is from RNAcentral.